Molecule: ribosomal RNA, 253 nt
Filed under: uncultured bacterium
Lineage: Bacteria
Description: partial 16S ribosomal RNA
Rfam family: Bacterial small subunit ribosomal RNA
Source: RNAcentral
UACGAGAGGCCCAAACGUUAUUCGGAGUUACUGGGCGUAAAGCGUGCGUAGGCGGUGGUCCAAGUCUGGUGUGAAAUCUCCCGGCUCAACUGGGAGGGUGCGCCGGAAACUGGGCCGCUGGAGUAUGGGAGAGGCAAGCGGAAUUCCAGGUGUAGCGGUGAAAUGCGUAGAUAUCUGGAGGAACACCCGUGGUGCAGACGGCUUGCUGGACCAUGACUGACGCUGAGGCACGAAAGCGUGGGUAGCAAACAGG